ACCUGGCUGCCUUAGUUGGUAGUGCAUGAGACUCUGGAUCUCAAGGCUGUGAGUUCAAGCCCCAUGUCAGGUG
Molecule: non-coding RNA, 73 nt
Organism: Mustela putorius furo (domestic ferret)
Lineage: Eukaryota; Metazoa; Chordata; Mammalia; Carnivora; Mustelidae
Source: Rfam